This 253-nucleotide ribosomal RNA is filed under the name uncultured bacterium. RNAcentral describes it as "partial 16S ribosomal RNA". It matches the Rfam family "Bacterial small subunit ribosomal RNA", at positions 524 to 776 of the family's 1533-position model. The record is from RNAcentral.
GACGGAGGAUGCAAGUGUUAUUCGGAUUCACUGGGCGUAAAGGGUGCGCAGGCGGUCGUGUGUGUCAGAUGUGAAAUCCCGGAGCUUAACUCCGGAACUGCGUCUGAAACUACACGACUAGAGCAUUGGAGAGGGAAGUGGAAUUCCGCGUGUAGCAGUGAAGUGCGUAGAUAUCAUGAGGAACACCAGAGGCGAAGGCGACUCACUGGACAAGUAUUGACGCUGAGGUACGAAAGCAUGGGGAGCAAACAGG